AACGAACGCUGGCGGCAUGCCUAACACAUGCAAGUCGAACGAGAUCUUCGGGUCUAGUGGCGCACGGGUGCGUAACGCGUGGGAAUCUGCCCUUUGGUUCGGAAUAACAGUUGGAAACGACUGCUAAUACCGGAUGAUGACGAAAGUCCAAAGAUUUAUCGCCAGAGGAUGAGCCCGCGUAGGAUUAGCUAGUUGGUGUGGUAAAGGCGCACCAAGGCGACGAUCCUUAGCUGGUCUGAGAGGAUGAUCAGCCACACUGGGACUGAGACACGGCCCAGACUCCUAAGGGAGGCAGCAGUGGGGAAUAUUGGACAAUGGGCGAAAGCCUGAUCCAGCAAUGCCGCGUGAGUGAUGAAGGCCUUAGGGUUGUAAAGCUCUUUUACCCGGGAUGGUAAUGACAGUACCGGGAGAAUAAGCUCCGGCUAACUCCGUGCCAGCCGCCGCAGUAA
RNAcentral lists this ribosomal RNA (449 nucleotides) under uncultured bacterium. Its description in RNAcentral is "partial 16S ribosomal RNA". It matches the Rfam family "Bacterial small subunit ribosomal RNA", at positions 29 to 523 of the family's 1533-position model. The record is from RNAcentral.